UACGGAGGGUGCAAGCGUUGUCCGGAUUUAUUGGGCGUAAAGAGCGUGUAGGCGGCCAGGUAGGUCUGCUGUGAAAACUCGAGGCUUAACCUCGAGCUGUCGGCGGAAACCAUCUGGCUAGAGUCCGGAAGAGGAGAAUGGAAUUCCCGGUGUAGCGGUGAAAUGCGCAGAUAUCGGGAAGAACACCCGUGGCGAAGGCGGUUCUCUGGGACGGUACUGACGCUGAGACGCGAAAGCGUGGGGAGCGAACAGG
RNAcentral lists this ribosomal RNA (253 nucleotides) under uncultured bacterium. RNAcentral's name for it is "partial 16S ribosomal RNA". It matches the Rfam family "Bacterial small subunit ribosomal RNA", at positions 524 to 776 of the family's 1533-position model. The record is from RNAcentral.